AAAAAAACUUUUGGAACUUCGAUCGAAAUAAAGAAUUAAAGUGUUAGCUAUUUAAAAUUAUAGCUAAUGUGAGGAUGGCGGCUUAUUUUGUUCGCUGUAAUAUAAACGAGUACCGCAGCGCGACGCGGCGCUCGCGGCGGCUAACUGCGGUGCAGGCCCGGCGGCCCAUGCAGCUGCCACCAAUACCCCUGCCGUGGGAUUGGCACCCUCGCAAGGCAUCAGCGCCUUUAAAAAUACCGGUGCACUCCUGGUGGAGGCACCCAAAUUUGAUUUACGGUCGGCGCGGUUGUGAUUAAAGUAAAAUAAACGAGUCCGCAGAGCGACGCGGCGCUCGCGGCGACUAACUGCGGUGUAGGCUCGGCAGCCCAUGCAGCUGCCACCAAUACCCCUGCAGUGGGAUUGGCCCCCUGGCAAGGCGCCAGCGCCUUUAAAAAUACCGGUGCACUCCUGGUGGAGGCACCCAAAUUUGAUUUACGGUCGGCGCGGUUGUGAUUAAAGGUAUUCAUUUAUAUAUACUAUGAACUGUAACAUAUGUUGUUUAAUUUACCAAAUAGGUACUUAUUAUAUGUAUAC
Molecule: long non-coding RNA, 573 nt
Organism: Spodoptera litura
Lineage: Eukaryota; Metazoa; Arthropoda; Insecta; Lepidoptera; Noctuidae
Source: RefSeq, a predicted model, not a curated record